Molecule: long non-coding RNA, 1150 nt
Filed under: Equus caballus (horse)
Lineage: Eukaryota; Metazoa; Chordata; Mammalia; Perissodactyla; Equidae
Description: lncRNA (ENSECAG00000046528.1)
Source: RNAcentral
GGAAAAGUGAGAAAGGGAGGGGAGGAGGGAACUCCAGUGGAAAACCUCCUCAUUAGGGAAACAUCUAGCACCAUAGAAAUUAGAACACCUGCUUCAUUCACUUAACACCCUUCCUGGGCGCCACACGUUGAAAUAUCCUUUCUUCUGAUUUUAAAAGUUAUAACAAAGUAGGUUGCAUACUGGGCCCUCCAGCAAAAUUUCAGAAAGCUGUCCGUUGGCCCACGGGAAUUGCGUGGCAUAUGGCCUCCUCCAGGGCGCUGGUAAGAGUGUUGUAGGUCGGAGCCUUGGGGGUGGCUCUGAACUUUCUACAGAGGCUUCAGUGUAGUACUCUGGAGUGAUUGUUGAAGAAGGACAAACCCACUGGGGCCUUUCGUACAGUAAGGCUUACCUGUCCCUGAGCCAACCUCCUAUCCAGUGAGCAUCUGUGGUUUGAAGUCAGUCUGAGAGGACACAGAGUUAGUUGUAGGUCCUUCUAACUGGGACAUGUGGGACGCCGCCUCAGCAUGGCCUGAUGAGCAGUGCCAUGUCCGCGCCCAGGAUUCAAACUGGCCAGCCCCAGGUUAGCUAUUCUUAUGUAACAUGUCUAAAACAAUGCUGGUAGAUAGUAAGUUUUCUUACUAUGCUUGUUAGUCAGUUUUUUUUUCUUUUAUUGAGUUAAUGAUAGGUUACAAUCUUGUGCAAUUUCAGUUGUCAUUAAUGUUUGUCAUUCGUGUUGUAGGUGCACCAUUUCACCCUUUGUGCCCACCCCCCACCCCACCUUUCCCCUGGUAGCCACUAAUCUGUUCUCUUUGUCUACAUUUUUAAAUUCCUCAUAUGAGUGGAGUCAUACAGAGAUUGUCCUUCUCUAACUGGCUUAUUUCACUUAACAUAAUUCCCUCAAGGUCCAUCCAUGUUGUUGCAAAUGGGACGAUUUUGUUGUUUUUUAUGACUGAGUAGUAUUCCAUUGCAUAUAUAUAUAUACCACAUCUUCUUUAUCCAAUCAUCUGUUGAUGGGCACUUAGGUUGCUUCCAUGUCUUGGCUAUUGUAAAUAAUGCUGCAAUGAACAUUGGGGUGCAUAGGACUUUUAGAAUUGCUGACUUCAAGUUCUUUGGGUAGAUACCCAGUAGUGGGAUAGCUGGGUCGUAUGGUAGUUCUAUUUUUAAUUUUUUG